AAUUUCUUCCUGCGCUAAAUUGUAGCGUACAAUAUAGACUGGUCGAUGGUUCUUUUUGUCUCGCAACAUAUAUACGUAAUUGGGCACAAAAUGGCACAAAAACGUGCUGUAGUGGUUAUUAUUGCUGGCAUGACGGAGGCCACAACAGCCUCACAAGUAUACAGACGGCGCUGGAGGCGCCGGUCCCACGCGGCCGGUAAAAUAAGGCGUGUUGUUAUUCCUCCGUCUUGAAUGUGCCGGUCGGUAGUGCACGCUGCUUCGAUGUGUUUGUUUAAUCGUGUGUUUUUAGGUUUGCCGUAAUGAAAUGUGGCGUAGUUCGCGUGCACGAAAGUGCCGGAAGAUAGCCUGCGUCUCGCUGCAAACUCGUCGUAUACGUGGCACGCCAGGCAAAUGCGGACCUACUAUUUUCAUGCCGUGGAGUGUUCCCUUUGUCUUGGGUGGUCGUGGAAAGUUUUAUGGACGUCGCAAUGAAAUGUGUUUUAUUAGCGUGCCUCAGCUCGUCCAUUACGCAACGGCAUGUAUGCUGGUAUCAACAUCGUCGACGCAGCAAUGGCAACUCGGAGAGCUCUUUUCGAUCUCAUCGUACUGUUCAAAAGUGGUGAGGCCGUGGCCCGCAACAGUGUCCACUAAAAAGAGGAGCCCCCAGAAAUGCAGACCCCAUAUGAGUGCCUGCAGCAGCACGGCUGGAUGCUCAUGUCAGGCUUCACCAUGGCGGAGUACCAGGCGGAACCAACGAGGUUAAAAGCUAGCCUUUCCUUGCUGCUU
Molecule: long non-coding RNA, 765 nt
Organism: Dermacentor silvarum
Lineage: Eukaryota; Metazoa; Arthropoda; Arachnida; Ixodida; Ixodidae
Exons: 3
Source: RefSeq, a predicted model, not a curated record